RNAcentral lists this ribosomal RNA (254 nucleotides) under uncultured bacterium. Its description in RNAcentral is "partial 16S ribosomal RNA". It matches the Rfam family "Bacterial small subunit ribosomal RNA", at positions 524 to 776 of the family's 1533-position model. The record is from RNAcentral.
UACGGAGGGGGCUAGCGUUGUUCGGAAUUACUGGGCGUAAAGGGCGCGCAGGCGGCUGCUCAAGUCAGGCGUGAAAGGCCUGGGCUCAACCCGGGAAUUGGGCUUGAGACUGGGCUGGCUUGAGUGCGGGAGAGGAUGGUGGAAUUCCCAGUGUAGGGGAGAAAUUCGUAGAUAUUGGGAAGAACACCGGUGGCGAAGGCGGCCAUCUGGACCGCAACUGACGCUGAGUCGCGAAUGCGUGGGGAGCAAACAGG